Molecule: ribosomal RNA, 443 nt
Filed under: uncultured bacterium
Lineage: Bacteria
Description: partial 16S ribosomal RNA
Rfam family: Bacterial small subunit ribosomal RNA
Source: RNAcentral
CCUACGGGAGGCAGCAGUGGGGAAUAUUGGGCAAUGGGCGCAAGCCUGACCCAGCAACGCCGCGUGAAGGAAGAAGGCUUUCGGGUUGUAAACUUCUUUUCUCAGGGACGAAGCAAGUGACGGUACCUGAGGAAUAAGCCACGGCUAACUACGUGCCAGCAGCCGCGGUAAUACGUAGGUGGCAAGCGUUAUCCGGAUUUACUGGGUGUAAGGGGCGUGUAGGCGGGAAAGCAAGUCAGAUGUGAAAACCAUGGGCUCAACCUGUGGCCUGCAUUUGAAACUGUUUUUCUUGAGUACUGGAGAGGCAGACGGAAUUCCUAGUGUAGCGGUGAAAUGCGUAGAUAUUAGGAGGAACACCAGUGGCGAAGGCGGUCUGCUGGACAGCAACUGACGCUGAGGCGCGAAAGCGUGGGGAGCAAACAGGAUUAGAUACCCCGGUAGUC